GGCUAGAAAGCAAAAUUGGUUAUGCGAUAAAUUGCAAAUUUAUUUUUUAUUGGUUCGAUCCCAAUUCUAGCCU
Molecule: transfer RNA, 73 nt
Filed under: Osmundea sinicola
Lineage: Eukaryota; Rhodophyta; Florideophyceae; Ceramiales; Rhodomelaceae
Description: tRNA-Cys
Rfam family: tRNA
About the family: Transfer RNA (tRNA) molecules are approximately 80 nucleotides in length. Their secondary structure includes four short double-helical elements and three loops (D, anti-codon, and T loops).
Source: RNAcentral